RNAcentral lists this long non-coding RNA (1366 nucleotides) under Homo sapiens (human). RNAcentral's name for it is "HSALNT0313974". The stretch from base 791 to 955 matches the Rfam family "Non-coding RNA LOC285194". Lineage: Eukaryota; Metazoa; Chordata; Mammalia; Primates; Hominidae. The record is from RNAcentral.
GGGUACCAAAGUCCACUCUGAGCUUUUCCUCUGGGAACAGAUCCCAGAUUAUUCCAGACUUAAGACAUGGAGAUAUAUCUUGCUAGAGGCCAUUUUGAAGAUCUCAGUUUUACUGAAAGGGGUCUGCCACACAUAACUUCCCUGGUGUACCAGCAACAAGUGUUCAGUGGACCAUGGCAACACAAAGAAUGACGGAGGAGAGAAAAUGCCAUGCAGAAGUGAUAGUCAAGAUGAAGAUGUGGGAGAGGAGCAGCCCCCAGUAUAUAUUCAGUGUGUCCUCUGAAGUAACAACCAUCCCAUCUGGCUGAGAAGUGAUGGACACGGCUCCUUAACCACACUGUACCCUCUGUUCUUGGCACCUCUCUACCAGAAAGAUAUCAACAAAUUGGAUGGAAUUCAGAGAACAUGACUUCCUAUUAUCCUUCUCAAAGUUAUUGCUGCAGAGGAAAGAAGCAUACAUCUUUUACCCACCAGGAAACCCCCAAAGCAUCUAUUACCAUAAUAGCCAUGGGAAACAGAAGGCACCUCAAAUAAAGGUGGGGAAAAGAAUGAAAGAAAUGGCUUUGGCCUGUGCCUGUUUGACCUCUGAGAGAUACUUUUUGCAAGAAAUUGUUAAGUUUUGGCCCAAAAAGUGGUCGGUCUUUUAUCCUUCCUUGUGGAGGCCAAACUGCAAACCAGGAUGAAGAAACCAUCAGUGGCAGUUUGGGGAGGUGGAGGAGGGACUAUCUAGACUCAGUGAAUCACCAAGGAAACAUGAGGCCUAUUUCUCUGUGAAGCUGAACUUCAAAAAACAAUCUAAGAGAUACAAAGGGAAAAGUGUGACUGCUCUGACAGCAAAAACAAGCAAAUAUCUCCAGAGGGGAUUAAUCCUUCUGCUUCAAAGUAACUAAAACAAAGAAAGCUGAGCCAGCUUCACUGGAAACAACACCUGUCCAUCAGACAAGGAUGAGCUAAUCAAAAGAAAACACUGCCUAUGUGCACGACUCAGCAGCCUGGACAGCUAAUACCAAGGAACACGUUUUCACUAUAAAGAUUCAGCUUUCAAAAUCCAGUUCCCUCUUGUAGAGCCACAGGGUUAAAAGGGACCUUAGAGAUCAUCUACAUACAGGCCAAACCCUCAAUGAAUGCCAGUGUUCGCCUUAUGUUCUUCUUGCCGGACUCUUUUCUGGCCUCUGUUCUGUCAGGAUGUUUCCUGUUUUGCAAAACAGCUUUAAUCCUUGAGUAUAUUUAAUUGUUAGAAAACAGUUCCUCAAAUUUGACCCCAAAUUUAAGUCUAAUUUAUGAAGAAAGUUUUGCCUUUGGAGACAGGUUUAAUUUUACUUCCAUGUGGAAAACCUUCAAAUAAAAUGAUGACUAUUGUGUACUC